This 873-nucleotide long non-coding RNA is filed under the name Elaeis guineensis (African oil palm). Its description in RNAcentral is "long non-coding RNA (EGUI_LNC062443)". Lineage: Eukaryota; Viridiplantae; Streptophyta; Magnoliopsida; Arecales; Arecaceae. The record is from RNAcentral.
CCCUCUUCUCUUGCCAUGGGCCCUCCCUUGGAUGUUCCCCUUGCUGGUGUGAUGCCCCUCUCUUCCCUCGUUUGGUUGGACUGUGAAGGUGUUUUGAUCAGAGGUCAUCCCGCUUUCCUACAUUGUCUGACGUGCAUGCGAAGUAGAGGGCCUGCAGUUCCAGGCCUACACGAAGGUUGAAUCCAGAUUCUGGAUAUUUGAUCUCCAAUUCCAUUGCAAUACAGAUUUGAUCCUUGUUCAUAUAGAUUUAUAAAAAAAUUUUAGAUGCAACUCUAGUUAUCUGCGAGAAAUAUGUUUCUUUUCCUUCAUCCGCAUCUCUACAAUGAUGGAAGAUCUCUAGACUUAAUAUCUAGUGAGAAGAUUUAGAUUUAGAUCUCUUCUAAAUCAGCAGAUCUGACAUCUGACUGAUCAAAUUUAGCUCAGCAUGUCAACAUGUCUAACCAGCCUAGUCGGUAUGGGUGAACUCGAGUCAACAGAUAAUCCAGCACGAAACUAAAUCUCCCAAGAUGGUCAGGUAAGUUAAGAUGAGUGGAGAUCCCCCGUUGCUUUCCUUAGAUACCAAUCUAAAUUAACUAGAUCAAUCAAUAGAACCAAUUAAAUAACCACCAUUUAAAUACUUGCCUUAUACAUCAAAUUGGUUGAUUAAAAUUGAUCAGGUUAACCUAUUGAAAUGUGCCCAAACUACUGAACCAAAUUCGAUCUUGAGUCUCAAUCAACUCAUAUCAAAAUAUGAAUCGAUGUGAUCAACUAUAACUAAAUUCGACUUUGAACCCCUUUGACCUAAUCCUAAUCAACCAUUGAUUAGGUUCAAUCAACUGCUCAAAAUCGAUAAUGAGUUCUAACCUGAUCUAAUCAAUUUGACCCUAAUUGUAG